UACAGAGGUCCCAAGCGUUGUUCGGAUUCACUGGGCGUAAAGGGUGCGUAGGUGGCGAGGUAAGUCGGAUGUGAAAUCUCCAAGCUUAACUUGGAAAUGGCAUUGGAAACUACCUGGCUUGAGGUUUGGAGGGGGGACUGGAAUACUUGGUGUAGCAGUGAAAUGCGUAGAUAUCAGGAGGAACACCGGUGGCGAAGGCGCACAUCUGGCCCGAUACUGACGCUGAGGCGCGAAAGCUAGGGGAGCAAACGGG
This 253-nucleotide ribosomal RNA is filed under the name uncultured bacterium. RNAcentral describes it as "partial 16S ribosomal RNA". It matches the Rfam family "Bacterial small subunit ribosomal RNA", at positions 524 to 776 of the family's 1533-position model. The record is from RNAcentral.